AAGUUUGCCAAGUAUCUGGAUCCCAAUGCUCAUGGCAGAAUUAACUUCAGAGAUUUCUGCCAUGGAGUGUUUGCAAUCAAAGGCUGUGAGGAGAUCUUGAAAACGGCACUUGGGACCCCCAACAUCAGUGCACAUCCAUACCAGACGGACAAUGGCUACUACUAUCAGGUUUUGACUCACUUUGCAGGGGGACAUGCACUCCUGCUUGUUUCUGUUGGCAGUGUGUCUAGACGCAUUAGGACACUUAAUGGGAAGAGGCAUCUAUUGUUCUCCGAGAUAACAUGGAACGACCUUCCUUUCGUCCGCUUGGUAGUACAGAUUCGGUGCUUGGCUUGUGUGAACUUGAUAGAUGAGAGUACGUGGAGCCAAAAUGCAUCCCUAGCAUGUCAGCUCUCACUCACAUAUACACAACAAUCUAUACUGCCACUGUUUCACAGGCUGCUGCUUGAGUUACAGUUUAAGCCAUGUAAAACAUUAACCGGACACCGGAUGUUUUAAUGGGUGCUGUCAACAUGCUGUAUAUGACUCAAUGGAGCUGUCAGUCAAAGUAGUCUGUGGAUGUCAGUCAGCCAGAG
This is a long non-coding RNA of Sinocyclocheilus grahami, 575 nucleotides long. RefSeq lists it as uncharacterized. NCBI's taxonomy places the organism in Eukaryota, Metazoa, Chordata, Actinopteri, Cypriniformes, Cyprinidae. The transcript is spliced from 3 exons. The record is from RefSeq and is a predicted model, not a curated record.